RNAcentral lists this ribosomal RNA (250 nucleotides) under uncultured bacterium. RNAcentral's name for it is "partial 16S ribosomal RNA". It matches the Rfam family "Bacterial small subunit ribosomal RNA", at positions 524 to 773 of the family's 1533-position model. The record is from RNAcentral.
UACGGAGGGUGCGAGCGUUAAUCGGAAUUACUGGGCGUAAAGGGUGCGUAGGUGGUUUGAUAAGUUAUCUGUGAAAUUCCUGGGCUUAACCUGGGACGGUCAGAUAAUACUGUUGGACUCGAGUAUGGGAGAGGGUAGUGGAAUUUCCGGUGUAGCGGUGAAAUGCGUAGAGAUCGGAAGGAACACCAGUGGCGAAGGCGGCUACCUGGCCUAAUACUGACACUGAGGCACGAAAGCGUGGGGAGCAAAC